Molecule: ribosomal RNA, 755 nt
Filed under: Gordonia sp. (in: high G+C Gram-positive bacteria)
Lineage: Bacteria; Bacillati; Actinomycetota; Actinomycetes; Mycobacteriales; Gordoniaceae
Description: bacterial SSU rRNA
Rfam family: Bacterial small subunit ribosomal RNA
Source: RNAcentral
GAGUGGCGAACGGGUGAGUAACACGUGGGUGAUCUGCCCCUGACUUUGGGAUAAGCCUGGGAAACUGGGUCUAAUACCGAAUAUUCAUUUUUCCUCGCAUGGGGAUUGGUGGAAAGCUUUUGCGGUUGGGGAUGGGCCCGCGGCCUAUCAGCUUGUUGGUGGGGUAAUGGCCUACCAAGGCGACGACGGGUAGCCGACCUGAGAGGGUGAUCGGCCACACUGGGACUGAGACACGGCCCAGACUCCUACGGGAGGCAGCAGUGGGGAAUAUUGCACAAUGGGCGCAAGCCUGAUGCAGCGACGCCGCGUGAGGGAUGACGGCCUUCGGGUUGUAAACCUCUUUCAGCUCCGACGAAGCGCAAGUGACGGUAGGAGCAGAAGAAGCACCGGCCAACUACGUGCCAGCAGCCGCGGUAAUACGUAGGGUGCAAGCGUUGUCCGGAAUUACUGGGCGUAAAGAGCUCGUAGGCGGUUUGUCGCGUCGUCUGUGAAAUUCUGCAGCUUAACUGCAGGCGUGCAGGCGAUACGGGCAGACUUGAGUACUACAGGGGAGACUGGAAUUCCUGGUGUAGCGGUGAAAUGCGCAGAUAUCAGGAGGAACACCGGUGGCGAAGGCGGGUCUCUGGGUAGUAACUGACGCUGAGGAGCGAAAGCGUGGGUAGCGAACAGGAUUAGAUACCCUGGUAGUCCACGCCGUAAACGGUGGGUACUAGGUGUGGGUUUCAUUUCACGGAAUCCGUGCCGUAGCUAACGCA